GGACGGUAGCACAGAAGAGCUUGCUCUCGGGUGACGAGUGGCGGACGGGUGAGUAACGUCUGGGAAACUGCCUGAUGGAGGGGGAUAACUACUGGAAACGGUAGCUAAUACCGCAUAACGUCUUCGGACCAAAGUGGGGGACCUUCGGGCCUCACACCAUCGGAUGUGCCCAGAUGGGAUUAGCUAGUAGGUGGGGUAAUGGCUCACCUAGGCGACGAUCCCUAGCUGGUCUGAGAGGAUGACCAGCCACACUGGAACUGAGACACGGUCCAGACUCCUACGGGAGGCAGCAGUGGGGAAUAUUGCACAAUGGGCGCAAGCCUGAUGCAGCCAUGCCGCGUGUAUGAAGAAGGCCUUCGGGUUGUAAAGUACUUUCAGCGGGGAGGAAGGCAUUGAGGUUAAUAACCUUGUUGAUUGACGUUACCCGCAGAAGAAGCACCGGCUAACUCCGUGCCAGCAGCCGCGGUAAUACGGAGGGUGCAAGCGUUAAUCGGAAUUACUGGGCGUAAAGCGCACGCAGGCGGUCUGUUAAGUCAGAUGUGAAAUCCCCGGGCUUAACCUGGGAACUGCAUUUGAAACUGGCAGGCUUGAGUCUCGUAGAGGGGGGUAGAAUUCCAGGUGUAGCGGUGAAAUGCGUAGAGAUCUGGAGGAAUACCGGUGGCGAAGGCGGCCCCCUGGACGAAGACUGACGCU
This 693-nucleotide ribosomal RNA is filed under the name Erwinia billingiae. RNAcentral's name for it is "bacterial SSU rRNA". It matches the Rfam family "Bacterial small subunit ribosomal RNA", at positions 64 to 747 of the family's 1533-position model. The record is from RNAcentral. Lineage: Bacteria; Pseudomonadati; Pseudomonadota; Gammaproteobacteria; Enterobacterales; Erwiniaceae.